Molecule: long non-coding RNA, 4306 nt
Filed under: Olea europaea subsp. europaea
Lineage: Eukaryota; Viridiplantae; Streptophyta; Magnoliopsida; Lamiales; Oleaceae
Source: RNAcentral
UGAUGAUCUUUUUUAUUUUUAUCUAGUGAUCUAUCCUACAACAACCUUACAUCUGAAAGCACAUCCUCAAAUUGUCAACCGCUUAAACUGUAAGGUCACUUUCACUAUUAUCGGAAUUAUAAUUUGAUUCUUUUCCCAUCUUCCACAUAUUAGUAACACUGCACCAUUUUUUGCAGGAACUUGUUCGAAAGCUCAAAGGGAAAUACAACGUGAGUUUCUAUGAUUCUUUCAUGCUUUGUUUCCUGUGAUCCCUCAAUCUUUCCUUAUCAUAUAUCAUGUUUCAAUAUGAUCCAAACCUGACUAGUUCUAAAACUACAUCAUUUUCCCAGUGGUAUCACAUCUUGUUUAAGGAGCUUUCACUGCGAGAAAAGUAAGUUAAAGUCAACUUCUACUGGAUUGCCUAACCAAUAUCUUUAAGGUUGCCACUUUGUUUUAAUUGUAGUUGAAGUCAAUUAAGAACUUUACGGCAAUUACAAUAUGCAAAAUGAUAUAGGAUGAAAACAUGUAAAAGAGGGCAUAGAAAUCAUCAUGUCAUUGUAACGAAAAAGUGUGGAAUUAAAGAUAUGUGACAAGGCGAAUUUACACAAAAAGCAUGGUGUUAGUAAUCUCUUAGAUCCUCUUCACUCUCCUCUUUGAUCAUUAGAACUACACUACAUGCUGUGGAUGAUCGGUAAUAAGCUGUUACAGCUUAUAUUGAAAAUUAUUAUGAAAAUAAUUGAAGCCAAAUUCUUGUCUUCUGGUGAUUAUAAAAUGUACAUCGGCUGGAUUUACGAUUAGUUGUGCCAGAUGACAAUGCAAGAAGUGAGUAGGAUUACAUGGGAAUUUUCUGAGUGAUCUGACAUAUUAAUUUUCCAUCUAGAAAAUAACUCAUGUUCUUUGCCUCUGUAUUGGUUUGUCUCAUCAGAACUUUGACAUUAGUAGCUCGUUGGUUCAAGGGAUUUUACCGUAUGCUUAUAUAAUAGCGCAUGCACUGGUGUUAUAGUCAGUUUUUUAACAUUAUUGCGGCUUCUGGACUUCCAUACAUAAUAAUUUUGCACAAGAAAAAAAUAUAUUUCUUUUCUGUGGGUGCAUUCAGUUUCCUUGUAUUUUUCCCUCGUUUUUAGCCAUCGUUUAUCUUCUCAAACAGAGAGAACUCAUUUUACGGAUUGUUUUUCAGAGUAUUACUUUCUCCAUAUAAAUUGUGGUGGAAUAGAAGUAAAGGUUGGUGAUAAAGGUCCUCCAUUUGAGGCAGACGGCGAAACUGGUGGGCCAUCUAAUUUCGUGCAGAGUAAGACUAACUGGGCAUUUAGCAGUACCGGCCACUUCCUGGAUGAUGAACGCAGUAGAGAUUCGUACAUCUGGGAGAACAUCUCUAGUAUCUCUGGGAAGGAUCCUCAGUUGUAUAUGAAUGCACGACUUUCUCCUCUGUCACUGACCUAUUAUGGAUUCUGUCUGGAAAACGGAAACUAUACAGUAAACCUUCACUUUGCGGAGAUCAUGUUUACUGAUGACAGAACAUAUAGUAGUCUCGGAAGGCGCAUAUUUGAUGUUUAUGUUCAGGUAAUCACAUACCUGCAACCACUAUUCACAAGAGAAAAAUGUCAUUUGUGAAAGAUACUCUUAUAGAAGAUGGAAAUUUUUCUGUAUGAAUAUGUUAAAUUUUGUUGUUGUUAAUAGAUGGAGAUCAGUUUUGGCAUUUUUUUUUUUUUUUUUUUUCCCCUUUUAUGGUAAUUUACUUACUCUCAAUAGCAUAAGAAGAUCUAUAAUAUAUUAUGGGUUAAAUUAUUUCAGGGAAAGCUGGUGAAGAAGGAUUUCAAUAUUGAAGAUGAAGCAGGUGGAGUUAAUAAGGCAAUUGUUAGAAACUUCACUGCUUCUGUCACUGAUAAUACCUUGGAGAUCCGGUUCUACUGGGCUGGAAAAGGGACUAUUGGCAUCCCAAAUAGAGGAGUAUAUGGUCCACUCAUUUCGGCUAUCUCUGUUAAUCCUGGUAUGCUAUGAAUUCUCUUGAGAUUCUUGUAAACAGUAACUUUUUUCUCCAGUUUCAACAAUUGAAAAUUCAAAGCAUAACCUCAGUUUUCCCACUGUUACUUUUGUUCUAAACAGAAGAAAAAAAUCAAUGAAUUUAUAUGUUAGUUGAAGAUUUUCUUAGAAUAUUAUACUAGGGUCUUAGGAUAAUAAUUUAGCAGCCAAAAUGUUACCCUGACUGUUUCUCUUGUUUCUCUCUACUUUGUUCAGAUUUUCCAGUACCAUCAGAAAAUGGAAACAUGUCUACUGGCGCUAUAGUUGGGAUAGUUAUUGGUGUUCUGUUUACGAUUUUUCUAGUUCUGGGAAUUCUUUGGUGGAAGGGUUGCUUAGGAUCCAAAGAUACUACAGCACAAGGUAUUGCAUAAGCUUCUUAUUUUUCAUGUGUGUAGAUCUAUUAGGCAGUCAUAUAUGAGUGAUAUAUCCACGACCCUGUGCAAUCUAAUUCUGUCAAUCCUCUUUAUACUUGGUUAUAGAUUAGAAAGAGAGUUUUCAAUUGUCUUGAACGCUUCUUGAUGUUUUUGACAGAUCUAAAGGGUCUAGACCUACACACUGGAUCAUUUACCCUAAGACAAAUUAAAGCUGCCACAAACAAUUUUGAUCCUGCUAACAAGAUUGGAGAAGGUGGUUUUGGUCCUGUGUACAAGGUAUCCUAAGGAAGAGCUAUUUUUCGAAUCUACUAUGGUUUGGUCACUUGAAACCUCUUUUGACAUUAUGAAUUGUUUGAAGGGUCUCCUGUCAGAUGGAAUCAUCAUAGCUGUGAAGCAGCUUUCUUCUAAAUCGAAGCAAGGGAACCGUGAAUUUGUGAAUGAAAUAGGCAUGAUUUCUGCUCUACAACACCCUCAUCUUGUAAAGCUGCAUGGAUGCUGUAUCGAAGGCAACCAGUUGUUGCUUGUGUACGAAUACAUGGAGAAUAACAGCCUUGCUCGUGCUUUAUUUGGUAAUGCAAAAAAGCUUAACUUUUUAUUCCAGUACUGAAAUGAAAUGCAAAAACGUGUAACCCGUUGUUAUCUGAUUCGUAUAUUUUUGUGCAAACGAGUGUUCUCAGGUCCAGAAGAACACCAGUUGAAAUUGGAUUGGCCUACAAGGCGCAAGAUCUGUAUUGGUAUAGCAAGAGGAUUGGCUUAUCUUCAUGAGGAAUCGAGAUUAAAAAUUGUCCAUCGGGACAUCAAGGCUACCAAUGUGCUUCUUGAUAAGAAUCUUCAUCCAAAAAUAUCUGAUUUCGGUCUUGCCAAACUCGAUGAAGAAGAUAAUACCCAUAUAAGCACUCGUAUCGCUGGAACUUUGUGAGUAAUAAAAUGCUGAUCUUGCUUUCUUUUUUCUUUUCUUUUCUUAUUUUUGACAAGUGUCUUCUCCUUUCUCCUUUUCUACAUAACUUAUCUGAAAUGAUACUACAUAAUAUUAAAAUUACAUGACGUAUGAGUGUUGUGUAUCUCCCAGUGGAUAUAUGGCACCUGAAUAUGCUAUGCGAGGCUAUUUGACCGAUAAAGCAGAUGUAUACAGUUUCGGAAUUGUUCUUCUAGAAAUUGUCAGUGGUAGAAGCAACACUAGUAUCAGGCCAAAAGAGGACUCUUUCUAUCUUCUUGAUUGGGUAACAGUUGCUAUUAUUUUAUGUGCUUAUUCCUAAUUGUGUUCGUACAAACUCUGACUAGCUCUUUGUUUCCUUUUUUUAGGCUAAUUCCUUGAAGGCUAACGGAAAAUUAACGGAACUGAUUGAUCCAAGAUUGGAAUCAAACUUCAGUAAAAAAGAGGUGAUCAUGACUAUCAAUGUAGCGCUCCAUUGUACCAAUGCUGUAGCUGCCGAAAGACCAAGUAUGUCAACAGUUGUAAGCAUACUCGAAGGAAGAGAGCGUGUUCAAGGAUUUGUACCAGACUCCAGUAUUUCAAUGGACGAAAUGAAGCCAAAGAGUCAAGACCAAGCAACAGAGUCAAAUGAUGAUCAAGACCAAAGUAUUUCAAUGGAUGCUCCUUGGACAGCUUCCUCAACCUCGACCGCUGACCUGUAUCCGAUCACUUUGGAUACUGAUUACUGGGAGAAGAGAAUGUAAAAAGUCGCAUUUCUAUGUGUUUUUGGUCCUGAAAUUUCGUUUUCCUUACAGACGACGUAAAUUUUUCAUUUUUUUUUCUUUUUCCCAGAAAUUCCCGUCUUAUAUUUUAUCUUUGUUCUCGCAUCAAGGAUUUGUUUGAUCCUUAACUUCUUUGUACAUUUUGGGUUUGUAUAUUUAAAUGCAUUUCUAUAUAUGCAAUUAGAAAGAACUUUAUAUUGGAAUAAAUUAUUUGUUAGAAAAUCUUACUGCAAUUGAUA